This 427-nucleotide long non-coding RNA is filed under the name Gallus gallus (chicken). RNAcentral's name for it is "lncRNA (ENSGALG00010013637.1)". The record is from RNAcentral. Lineage: Eukaryota; Metazoa; Chordata; Aves; Galliformes; Phasianidae.
CUGGACUGUCAUCAGUGGGACCCCCUGUAGCAUGUUUCACAGGAUGGCUAAGGCUGGAAGGGACCUCUUCUGGAGGACAUCUGGUCCAGAAUGGCUUCCUCCAUACCUCCACUGUAGUUCUUCAGUGAGAUGAGCUUCUUGCUACGUCUGACUCUGCAAAGCCCCACCCCUUCUGGUUCAUCUGGUCUCUGGGAGUUGCAGCCACUGGUCCCUGAGCAGGCUCUUUGGACACCACAGCAUCAAGCAGCCUGGCCCUAUCUGGAGCCAUUUCAAGGAAAAUCCAGACCUGCAUUUGACCUCAUUCUUUUAUUUACUCACCACACUAAUUAGGUCAGGCAGAGUGAAGGCCAGCAAGACAUGUAGGAUGGACUAUUUGCAUAGCUGCGAGCGGUUUCUAUCUGAUUGAGUGGAGUGGAUUGAACCAUAG